ACCGCAAUUACUCUGUAGUGCCCCCCAAGUUUUUGGACAAGUUCUUAUCUCCUCCUCGAUCAGCAUUCUCCGCAGCCGUUCUCCUGCCAUUCUUCCCGUCAUUGUGCCCUUGUGAUGGAAACCCACAAAGCUGACCAAGAAAUCUCGCCGGAGUAGGAGCAGACUUGCGAAACUCAGGUCUCUCUCCCCCUCUAACUUUUAAUUGUUGGGUUAGUUUAGGUCAUCAUCCUUCCUCUCGCAAGUAUAUAGUGCACGGCCAUCUUGCGCUUUGUGGUUAGCUUUCGGUUUGUUUCCGAGACAAAUUUAUUUGCUUUGGUGCCGCUCUUUUUGAUUUAUGCUAACUACAUCAAAAGAACUCGAAAGACGCACACACAUCUUUCAAAUAAAAGUAGACUUUGUCAGAACCAUAGUUUGAUUUUGAUAUCUCCAGUAUGAUUAUAGGCAUUUUUGCUUAAUGAAGCAAGGUAAUAAAGAGGCAGGGCACAAUGUGUGUUAUGCCCAAAAUUUAACUAUGAGUAUAUAUGAAAUGGUACAACCCUCUAAGGGCUUGACCUAUAUGAGAGGGCGUAGCCCUCGGAGGUGUGACCUCUAUGAGAGGCUUGACCUCUAUGAGAGGGCGUAGCCCUCGGAGGUGUGACCUCUAUGAGAGGCUUGACCUCUAUGAGAGGGCGUAGCCCUCGGAGGGCUUGGCCUAUGUGAUAAGGCGCGGCCCUCGGAGGCUUGACCUCUAUGAAAGGACGUAGCCCUCGGAGGGCUCGGCUUAUGUGAUAGGGCGCGGCCUUCAGAUGGCUCAGCCUAUGUUGAAGGGCGCGGCCCUCGGAGGCUUGACCUCUAUGAAAGGACGUAGCCCUCGGAGGGCUCGGCUUAUGUGAUAGGGCGCGGCCUUCAGAUGGCUCAGCCUAUGUUGAAGGGCGCGGCCCUCGGAGGCUUGACCUCUAUGAAAGGACGUAGCCCUCGGAGGGCUCGGCUUAUGUGAUAGGGCGCGGCCUUCAGAUGGCUCAGCCUAUGUUGAAGGGCGCGGCCCUCGGAGGCUUGACCUCUAUGAAAGGACGUAGCCCUCGGAGGGCUCGGCUUAUGUGAUAGGGCGCGGCCUUCAGAUGGCUCAGCCUAUGUUGAAGGGCGCGGCCCUCGGAGGCUUGACCUCUAUGAAAGGACGUAGCCCUCGGAGGGCUCGGCUUAUGUGAUAGGGCGCGGCCUUCAGAUGGCUCAGCCUAUGUUGAAGGGCGCGGCCCUCGGAGGCUUGACCUCUAUGAAAGGACGUAGCCCUCGGAGGGCUCGGCUUAUGUGAUAGGGCGCGGCCUUCAGAUGGCUCAGCCUAUGUUGAAGGGCGCGGCCCUCGGAGGCUUGACCUCUAUGAAAGGACGUAGCCCUCGGAGGGCUCGGCUUAUGUGAUAGGGCGCGGCCUUCAGAUGGCUCAGCCUAUGUUGAAGGGCGCGGCCCUCGGAGGCUUGACCUCUAUGAAAGGACGUAGCCCUCGGAGGGCUCGGCUUAUGUGAUAGGGCGCGGCCUUCAGAUGGCUCAGCCUAUGUUGAAGGGCGCGGCCCUCGGAGGCUUGACCUCUAUGAAAGGACGUAGCCCUCGGAGGGCUCGGCUUAUGUGAUAGGGCGCGGCCUUCAGAUGGCUCAGCCUAUGUUGAAGGGCGCGGCCCUCGGAGGCUUGACCUCUAUGAAAGGACGUAGCCCUCGGAGGGCUCGGCUUAUGUGAUAGGGCGCGGCCUUCAGAUGGCUCAGCCUAUGUUGAAGGGCGCGGCCCUCGGAGGCUUGACCUCUAUGAAAGGACGUAGCCCUCGGAGGGCUCGGCUUAUGUGAUAGGGCGCGGCCUUCAGAUGGCUCAGCCUAUGUUGAAGGGCGCGGCCCUCGGAGGCUUGACCUCUAUGAAAGGACGUAGCCCUCGGAGGGCUCGGCUUAUGUGAUAGGGCGCGGCCUUCAGAUGGCUCAGCCUAUGUUGAAGGGCGCGGCCCUCGGAGGCUUGACCUCUAUGAAAGGACGUAGCCCUCGGAGGGCUCGGCUUAUGUGAUAGGGCGCGGCCUUCAGAUGGCUCAGCCUAUGUUGAAGGGCGCGGCCCUCGGAGGCUUGACCUCUAUGAAAGGACGUAGCCCUCGGAGGGCUCGGCUUAUGUGAUAGGGCGCGGCCUUCAGAUGGCUCAGCCUAUGUUGAAGGGCGCGGCCCUCGGAGGCUUGACCUCUAUGAAAGGACGUAGCCCUCGGAGGGCUCGGCUUAUGUGAUAGGGCGCGGCCUUCAGAUGGCUCAGCCUAUGUUGAAGGGCGCGGCCCUCGGAGGCUUGACCUCUAUGAAAGGACGUAGCCCUCGGAGGGCUCGGCUUAUGUGAUAGGGCGCGGCCUUCAGAUGGCUCAGCCUAUGUUGAAGGGCGCGGCCCUCGGAGGCUUGACCUCUAUGAAAGGACGUAGCCCUCGGAGGGCUCGGCUUAUGUGAUAGGGCGCGGCCUUCAGAUGGCUCAGCCUAUGUUGAAGGGCGCGGCCCUCGGAGGCUUGACCUCUAUGAAAGGACGUAGCCCUCGGAGGGCUCGGCUUAUGUGAUAGGGCGCGGCCUUCAGAUGGCUCAGCCUAUGUUGAAGGGCGCGGCCCUCGGAGGCUUGACCUCUAUGAAAGGACGUAGCCCUCGGAGGGCUCGGCUUAUGUGAUAGGGCGCGGCCUUCAGAUGGCUCAGCCUAUGUUGAAGGGCGCGGCCCUCGGAGGCUUGACCUCUAUGAAAGGACGUAGCCCUCGGAGGGCUCGGCUUAUGUGAUAGGGCGCGGCCUUCAGAUGGCUCAGCCUAUGUUGAAGGGCGCGGCCCUCGGAGGCUUGACCUCUAUGAAAGGACGUAGCCCUCGGAGGGCUCGGCUUAUGUGAUAGGGCGCGGCCUUCAGAUGGCUCAGCCUAUGUUGAAGGGCGCGGCCCUCGGAGGCUUGACCUCUAUGAAAGGACGUAGCCCUCGGAGGGCUCGGCUUAUGUGAUAGGGCGCGGCCUUCAGAUGGCUCAGCCUAUGUUGAAGGGCGCGGCCCUCGGAGGCUUGACCUCUAUGAAAGGACGUAGCCCUCGGAGGGCUCGGCUUAUGUGAUAGGGCGCGGCCUUCAGAUGGCUCAGCCUAUGUUGAAGGGCGCGGCCCUCGGAGGCUUGACCUCUAUGAAAGGACGUAGCCCUCGGAGGGCUCGGCUUAUGUGAUAGGGCGCGGCCUUCAGAUGGCUCAGCCUAUGUUGAAGGGCGCGGCCCUCGGAGGCUUGACCUCUAUGAAAGGACGUAGCCCUCGGAGGGCUCGGCUUAUGUGAUAGGGCGCGGCCUUCAGAUGGCUCAGCCUAUGUUGAAGGGCGCGGCCCUCGGAGGCUUGACCUCUAUGAAAGGACGUAGCCCUCGGAGGGCUCGGCUUAUGUGAUAGGGCGCGGCCUUCAGAUGGCUCAGCCUAUGUUGAAGGGCGCGGCCCUCGGAGGCUUGACCUCUAUGAAAGGACGUAGCCCUCGGAGGGCUCGGCUUAUGUGAUAGGGCGCGGCCUUCAGAUGGCUCAGCCUAUGUUGAAGGGCGCGGCCCUCGGAGGCUUGACCUCUAUGAAAGGACGUAGCCCUCGGAGGGCUCGGCUUAUGUGAUAGGGCGCGGCCUUCAGAUGGCUCAGCCUAUGUUGAAGGGCGCGGCCCUCGGAGGCUUGACCUCUAUGAAAGGACGUAGCCCUCGGAGGGCUCGGCUUAUGUGAUAGGGCGCGGCCUUCAGAUGGCUCAGCCUAUGUUGAAGGGCGCGGCCCUCGGAGGCUUGACCUCUAUGAAAGGACGUAGCCCUCGGAGGGCUCGGCUUAUGUGAUAGGGCGCGGCCUUCAGAUGGCUCAGCCUAUGUUGAAGGGCGCGGCCCUCGGAGGCUUGACCUCUAUGAAAGGACGUAGCCCUCGGAGGGCUCGGCUUAUGUGAUAGGGCGCGGCCUUCAGAUGGCUCAGCCUAUGUUGAAGGGCGCGGCCCUCGGAGGCUUGACCUCUAUGAAAGGACGUAGCCCUCGGAGGGCUCGGCUUAUGUGAUAGGGCGCGGCCUUCAGAUGGCUCAGCCUAUGUUGAAGGGCGCGGCCCUCGGAGGCUUGACCUCUAUGAAAGGACGUAGCCCUCGGAGGGCUCGGCUUAUGUGAUAGGGCGCGGCCUUCAGAUGGCUCAGCCUAUGUUGAAGGGCGCGGCCCUCGGAGGCUUGACCUCUAUGAAAGGACGUAGCCCUCGGAGGGCUCGGCUUAUGUGAUAGGGCGCGGCCUUCAGAUGGCUCAGCCUAUGUUGAAGGGCGCGGCCCUCGGAGGCUUGACCUCUAUGAAAGGACGUAGCCCUCGGAGGGCUCGGCUUAUGUGAUAGGGCGCGGCCUUCAGAUGGCUCAGCCUAUGUUGAAGGGCGCGGCCCUCGGAGGCUUGACCUCUAUGAAAGGACGUAGCCCUCGGAGGGCUCGGCUUAUGUGAUAGGGCGCGGCCUUCAGAUGGCUCAGCCUAUGUUGAAGGGCGCGGCCCUCGGAGGCUUGACCUCUAUGAAAGGACGUAGCCCUCGGAGGGCUCGGCUUAUGUGAUAGGGCGCGGCCUUCAGAUGGCUCAGCCUAUGUUGAAGGGCGCGGCCCUCGGAGGCUUGACCUCUAUGAAAGGACGUAGCCCUCGGAGGGCUCGGCUUAUGUGAUAGGGCGCGGCCUUCAGAUGGCUCAGCCUAUGUUGAAGGGCGCGGCCCUCGGAGGCUUGACCUCUAUGAAAGGACGUAGCCCUCGGAGGGCUCGGCUUAUGUGAUAGGGCGCGGCCUUCAGAUGGCUCAGCCUAUGUUGAAGGGCGCGGCCCUCGGAGGCUUGACCUCUAUGAAAGGACGUAGCCCUCGGAGGGCUCGGCUUAUGUGAUAGGGCGCGGCCUUCAGAUGGCUCAGCCUAUGUUGAAGGGCGCGGCCCUCGGAGGCUUGACCUCUAUGAAAGGACGUAGCCCUCGGAGGGCUCGGCUUAUGUGAUAGGGCGCGGCCUUCAGAUGGCUCAGCCUAUGUUGAAGGGCGCGGCCCUCGGAGGCUUGACCUCUAUGAAAGGACGUAGCCCUCGGAGGGCUCGGCUUAUGUGAUAGGGCGCGGCCUUCAGAUGGCUCAGCCUAUGUUGAAGGGCGCGGCCCUCGGAGGCUUGACCUCUAUGAAAGGACGUAGCCCUCGGAGGGCUCGGCUUAUGUGAUAGGGCGCGGCCUUCAGAUGGCUCAGCCUAUGUUGAAGGGCGCGGCCCUCGGAGGCUUGACCUCUAUGAAAGGACGUAGCCCUCGGAGGGCUCGGCUUAUGUGAUAGGGCGCGGCCUUCAGAUGGCUCAGCCUAUGUUGAAGGGCGCGGCCCUCGGAGGCUUGACCUCUAUGAAAGGACGUAGCCCUCGGAGGGCUCGGCUUAUGUGAUAGGGCGCGGCCUUCAGAUGGCUCAGCCUAUGUUGAAGGGCGCGGCCCUCGGAGGCUUGACCUCUAUGAAAGGACGUAGCCCUCGGAGGGCUCGGCUUAUGUGAUAGGGCGCGGCCUUCAGAUGGCUCAGCCUAUGUUGAAGGGCGCGGCCCUCGGAGGCUUGACCUCUAUGAAAGGACGUAGCCCUCGGAGGGCUCGGCUUAUGUGAUAGGGCGCGGCCUUCAGAUGGCUCAGCCUAUGUUGAAGGGCGCGGCCCUCGGAGGCUUGACCUCUAUGAAAGGACGUAGCCCUCGGAGGGCUUGGCCUAUGUGAUAAGGCGCGGCCCUCGGAGGCUUGACCUCUAUGAGAGGGCGUAGCCUUCGGAGGGCUUGACCUCUAUGAAAGGGCGUAGCCCUCGGAGGGCUCGGCCUAUGUGAUAGGGCGCGGCCUUCAGAUGGCUCAGCCUAUGUUGAAGGGCGCGGCCCUCGGAGGGUUCGGCCUAUGUGAUAGGGCGCGAAUAUUGGAGUGAUGUGUGAAUUGUGAGUGAAAGAGUGAGUCUCAAUGAUGACCCUUCCGAGGGAUACGAAGACCUACCCCUCCGGGGGAUACGAAGACCUACCCUUCCGAGGGACAUGAAGACUAGUGUCGGGCUCAUCUGGUAGUUAUCAGGCUUAUCUGGUAGUUCCCAGGCUACAUCCGGGCAUGUUCUAUAAUCCUCAAUCUUGUUAUCUGCCGAGUUAACCCUCGUGUGGGGGCUUGAGGUGAUCAUGAUUGUUGAAGGCCCUAAGGGGUAACACGAAUGCCGAUCAUAUGUCUGAAUCCUGUAUUCUGGUGAGUUAGCCAUCAUUGGGGGAUUAAGACGAUCGUGUAACAUGGCUCCCUAAUGGUCUUACCUCUUAACGAGAACCUUCACCAGGGGGUAAGGACGCGUCCCUACACCUCAAGGAAUUGGUCACGGCUAUAUCAGACGUCUCCUCCAUGCUACGAAACGUAGCGGUUAGUGUUACCUCUCGUAGUGGAGAUAAUGUCGUAUACGUGAUGUACUUGGACUAGGAGUCUGAGGUAGUUGGCCUCAAGGCUUAAUUCUAACUGGAGUAGAACUCUGAAAGCAUUGGACGUCUAAGAGAUAAGUCACCACCUCAGGGUUAGUGUUAUCCCCAAGAGGCCUAGUCCUGAUCAAACUAGGAGUCUUGGUUCAACAGAACUACGUAUGGCUUGGUCCCCUAUAAAUAUAGGGGUACGUAGGCACAUUGAGGGAUCAUGAGUUGAGAGUACAAGGAGGCAAAUCAAAACCCUAAUCUCAGCCACCCCCUAAAACACACAACCACCACACUCCGGCAGCUAAAACCACCGUCAUAGAUCUUGAUUCUGACUAUGAACCUCAUCUUUGUUGAUUACCAAAUUCCUCCAUCAACAAUGCGCAACUAAGCAAGGAUACAAGUAUACAAUAUCAUGUUACGGCAAGCAACGAUGGAUGGUUAUUGAUAUCAAUAUAUUCACUUUAUAAAAAUUAAGUUAUUAAUUUAUAUUAAUUAAAAAAUUAAUAAAAUUAUUGUCAGAUUUGAGUUUUAUUUAUAUCAAAUCAAUAUAUAAUAUUUGUUUAUAAUAAAAAUUUAAACUCAUACCUUAAACUCCAAAGAUAUAUGGAUUUUUAAUAUCGGGAGGGAGAGGCGGGUAUUAUGAGAUUGAGACACAAGCAUAUAGCAUCAAGUAUCAGCAACCAACAAUAAGUUGUGAAGAUAAUCAACUAAUACACUUGUAAACACGCAUUAGUAAUUAUUUUAUUGCAUUUCAAGCCUGAGGUAAAAGAGAGAGAGAGAGAGAGAGCCACAACAAUCCUAUAUAUGAUUCUUUGCCACUGAAUAUCUAUCUUCUAGAGCACAAAUAUUUUUGCCUAGAAGAUGGCUGACAUGUAAUCAAGGGCAUUUGUUUAAACUUAUAACGGGUUCCAUACUCGCUGCCAAAAUGGUGUACCAAUGACAAAGCUGGAUUGUGCAUAAAAGGUACAAUAUAAGCAAUGUCAUUUUGUGUUAGGUGCUCCCUAAUUUGUGGGUCUGGAGGAGAAUAUGAAUCAUAAUGCAUAUGUUUGAAGUCAUUAUACCACCCUUCAUCAGUAUACAGAGUUACCUGUACAAUAGCAAGAGUUCAAGUAGUCAGCUAUAUAUAUAUAUUAAUAACAGAAGCUUUAUACCUUCAAUAAUUAAACACAAUCAACUUAAUUAUUAAAGGACCAACUAUCACUCUAGCAUGGAACGGAGUUUUUCAUUGUAAUGUAGGGAGUCUCUCAAAUUCACCGCUGACAAGCGCAACACAUACCUAAUCAGAGUACCCUAAUGUUUUUACUUCAUUCUCCGUACAUUGCACACCUGAACAGUCUUUUACUCUAAAGCAAAUUGUUAGUUAUAAGAUUUUCGUGUUCUGUUAAUCAGGCAUAUUAUGAGUGACGAGAGCUUCUAGAGUUAGAUCUUCAUUUUGAAAAGUUAGCAAUGCCCUGGUGAACUUGAUAUCUUGCUUUGUAAUAUUGCCGGUACAUGACCUCACGUACAUGGCCUCACAUACAUGGUUAUUUGUUUGUGUGUAAAGUGCUUAACCACCUUUGGCUGUACUUUUUAGGUCACAAUGCAAGUGAUUCUGAUCCCGAAGAUUUGUUGCAGGAUUCUUGACAAAUAUUGAGUAGAAAAUCCUUUUCAUGACGUAAAUUAAGUUUUCACCUUUGAGUAGCGUAUUGAAGCACAUUUACUUCAUUUGCUCUUUGUUUUCUUAUAUUUUUCCUCUUUUCCCUCAACAUGUCCCUUUCCCCGCGGCUUUGGUAUUGUCACCGCAAAUUUGCGAACAAAACUGUGAAUUGUGUCGCCGUUCUCACUAGACAGACACACUUUACUUUAUUAAGUUGAAUGCAGUAUUAUGGGUUUUGAUAUUGUAGAAUCACAUGUAGGAAGAAUAUCUUGAUGUGUCAGUGUCUUGCCAAAUAUCUCAUACUGCUCUCUUGACAUUUAGCUUUUAAAUAGAGGCAAUAUUAUUUUCAUUGUCAGGUCAUGGUUGCAAGAUAUGAAUAAUCACACCCCUAUACCAAGCGUUUUAAGAAAGAGGAGUAAAAGGAAUUAAAGCAAAGGCGAAGAAAAAACGCUAUAAAAUACCAGAAUGGAUGUAAAGUUCAUUAAAAUACUUAAGAUGUUUGGUUGCAGUCAAGGUAUUUUUCAGAAGAAUGUGAAGGUGUCUCUUCAAUGGAAGCGAACAAUAGAAGUGAAGGAAGUAAAUAAUAUUAUAGUGAAAGAAGCCAACCACUACUUACUACAAGUAAUAACUUACUAAACUUUAUCUUUCUAUCCCAUUUUAACAUUAGAAGUAGAUAAAAUAGGGAUACGAACAUAUCAACACAAACUCAUAAUUAUACCUGAAAGCUCCACCUGAUGCGGUUAAUAUUAUGCGCCUAAAAGCACCUUCUGGUAAUCCUUGAAUACACUGAAGCAAAGUUCAAAGGAUGUUUAAGGAAAUCCUUAUAACUAGUAAUUUUAACAAUCAUCCGCAACGUGGUGUUAUAAUAAGCUAUAACAAUACACCUAGCAUGGUAAUGUGAUUCACAUUCAUAGAGUGACCAACACAAUUAGAAUGAAACUGAUUGAGCCAGCAUACCUGGAAAAUUGCAAAAUGCUCUGAAUCGGCAGGAAGAAUCUUUACUUUAUGCUUAUGUGCAAGAGGAAGGACAAAUGGACCACCAUCAAUUAGAGUAUCUUUAUUAGACAAGGCAAUAUCUUUUCCUGCUUCUAUAGCAGCUACUGUUUGAUAACAAACAGAAACAUUUUGAUUAGCAAUGGAAAAGAGAUGAAACCAACCAUGUCUCAAAUCUCAACAGCAACAUCUUUAAUUUAAAUACAUCUAUACAUCGAGAACGGCAUUUAGCAUGAAACCCAAUAGUGAAAAUUAUCCCAGAAAUGUACUUAAAGAAUUUUAGUAACUGUCACUCAAUAAAACAUAAUGUAUCUUCCCUUUAUUAAUUUCUUAGUACCAGAAUUACUGCCGGAAUUCCGGUAGAUAAACAGAAAAACAUUUGCAGGCGUUCAAAAAACCCUUCAAAAUAAUAAUACAUAUCCUUAAGAAAAUAUAUGAAAUUCUUCUCAUUUAUGCACAACAUGAAUCUUAUAAAAACCUGAUAUAUCAUAAUUAUAUGCAUGUGUAGAUAUCUUUUCAAUGCUUUACUGAUCUAGGUUUGAGCUUCUCUUCACUAUACAGUACUUACAGUUGGAGCAUUUUUAUUAACUUACUAGGAGUCUAAUAUUUUGUUUUAUAUUUAAGAGCUACCUAAGAGGCUUUUGGAGAUGCUCUUAAUGUUUCUUUACUGCAAUCUUUGAACUACGAGCCACUGAUCCAUAAAAUUUUGAUCCAUAAAAUUUGUGUACCCCACAUUUUGUUAAUAAUAAAAAUGAUGUCUCAUUUGAACCACAUAUCACCGCUCUCGAAUCUCAUAUCACUCCGCGAACUGUGGCUCUUAGUUUGUUUUACCAAACUCUUGUCUUUAUAAAAACCAAAUGCUUUCUCUUAUGUUUGCUCGUCAUAAAGUAUACAUUGUGGAACAGCGAGUAGGGCUCAUUAUGUCCUCUUAACAUCACGGAUUAAUCAGUUUGGUCAAACCUGAAGCCAAAAAUUAAUAUACAAAAACUAUGUCAUUCCAAGCACUUUGGGUUAAGGGAAGUUUACCAUAUAAUUUUAUUUGCAAGUGUUCAAAUAAAUUCUAAUACUUUUUUCCUUGUACAGGAAGUUAAGAACUGAGGUCCUCAAGUCGCGUUAGCUAGAAAUACAAAGGCAUCUGGCAUUAAUAUUGCAGUAAGUUUCAUCAGCUGUUAUACUCUAAUUUUCUGCAUUCCUCAUGUCUGGUCCGAUUUUAGAUAACUAAUAAAUCAUGUAUCAUUUAAUAGAGAAGUCUCUUGGUUUCGUUAAUACUGUUAUAUAAGCUCAUAGGCCAUUAAUAGUGCUCACAGUCUCAUUUUUUCUGUAGAUCUGUGAAAGGGGUAACGGUUAGGAUUGUUUCAAUUACACUCUCUUAUGUUUAAUUC
Molecule: long non-coding RNA, 10374 nt
Filed under: Daucus carota (carrot)
Lineage: Eukaryota; Viridiplantae; Streptophyta; Magnoliopsida; Apiales; Apiaceae
Description: long non-coding RNA (DCAR_LNC003366)
Source: RNAcentral